RNAcentral lists this ribosomal RNA (318 nucleotides) under Triticum aestivum (bread wheat). RNAcentral describes it as "partial small subunit ribosomal RNA". The record is from RNAcentral. Lineage: Eukaryota; Viridiplantae; Streptophyta; Magnoliopsida; Poales; Poaceae.
AUGCGGAGAGGAGGAAGAAGACUGGCCGCGGCCGCACCUCGCGAGCACGAGGACGGAGCUGCCGCCAAGGUGGGACGGGCCGACAGGGACCGUCGUGCUCAUCGACAAGCCCAAAGGUGGACCUCAUUUACUGUUUGUGGAAAACUACGGCGGUUGGUGAAAGUGCAAAAGGUUGGCCAUGCUGGUACUCUGGAUCCUAUGGCCACUGGAUUGUUGAUUGUUUGCGUGGGCAAAGCAACCAAAGUUGUUGAUAGAUAUCAAGGCAUGGUUAAAGGCUAUAGUGGUGUUUUCCGGCUUGGGGAAGCAACAUCAACCUAG